Molecule: ribosomal RNA, 253 nt
Filed under: uncultured bacterium
Lineage: Bacteria
Description: partial 16S ribosomal RNA
Rfam family: Bacterial small subunit ribosomal RNA
Source: RNAcentral
UACGUAGGGGGCAAGCGUUGUCCGGAUUUAUUGGGCGUAAAGAGCGUGUAGGCGGCCAGACAGGUCCGUUGUGAAAACUCGAGGCUCAACCUCGAGAUGUCGAUGGAAACCGUCUGGCUAGAGUCCGGAAGAGGAGUGUGGAAUUCCUGGUGUAGCGGUGAAAUGCGCAGAUAUCAGGAGGAACACCAGUGGCGAAGGCGGCACUCUGGGCCGGUACUGACGCUGAGGUGCGAAAGCGUGGGGAGCAAACAGG